AAAAAAAAAAAAAAAAGAAUAUUAGAACUGCAUUUUUCUGGGUUAAAGGAUUUGGCAUUUAACUAUAAAAUAUAACUACAUCCAAUAUAUUUGAUCAAAAUAAAGCCUCGUGAGCUUCUAUACCGUAAUUCACGUUUCCAAUCCUGAUCAAGAAAACGCUUACGAUAAGAUGUGGUAGAUAAGCAUAUGCACGAAUCUGGAUGACCAAGACUUUAACAGACUUCCGCCAAAUUUGAGCCCGUCAUCGACAACAUGAGCAGGAAAAGAGUGGCAAAGUGAUGAAAACGAAGAUCCUGAAGCUAAUACAGCCAGAAAAACGGAUAGUGACGAUUGAACUAAGGAAAAUUUAAAAUGCUGAAAUUAAAUGGAAGAAAAAAGAAAUUCAAGCCGAAAACAAGAAGAAAUAAAGAAGCAAUAAUAGACUCAAACCAGCAAUCUUUGCAAAUGCAAGAAUGUAGAACCCAGCAGUAAUUACGUGCCCGAGUCCUGCAGUUCGAAUGUUCCAGUACUCGUCGGCAACACUUCUGGACCUAGCAGUAUGCUUAAGACUACUACAUCAAUCAGCAACACACCUGUACCAGUCAGCAACUUGAAAGAACUCUGCUAUACUCGUGUGUCUGUGCCAUACAAUAACUCAGUUGUACUUAAUGGUCAAGAUGUGUUAACCUCUGUCAGCAACACCUCAGUGCCUUACAGUUAAAAUAAGCCUGUACCAGUAAGCAACUCGAAAGAACCCUACUGUCAUAAUCGUGUGCUUGUGCCAAAUAACAAAAUUUCGAAUGUAAUUCUUUGAGAUUUAUUUUUAAUCAACUGCUCUAAUAAUGAUGACUGUGCUAUUCAAAAUCUCAACACUCUUAGCCUAUGGUCUUUUCUCAAAGAUUCAGUGUUUGAUGAUUUGUGGAUUCAAAGGAGAGUAUAUAUAUAUAUACAUUAUUUGCUGUGGUUCGGAAUUACCAUAGUGCUUAACAGUAAUCUUAUUACAGUUUAUUUCUAGUCAUCAUGAUCUAUUGUUUUAAAAUAUUAAUUAAGCUCUCAUUUUAAUUGUAUAAUUUCAUUUUGAUUAUGUUUAUAACCUAAAUUCAAAUCUUUGUCAGAAAUUAAUCUGUUAUGUUAAUAAAUAUUUUUGCUUUUUACAUAUCUAUACGCAUGGGGGGGAUGCGCAUCGAUGGGCUGAUAUAAUUUUUAUCUUUCUAUUUCAAAUUGGUAUAAUUGUCAAUUUUGUGAAAUAUUACAUGGUAACUGUUGUAAGUUUCAUAUAAUGUCCAAAAAUUGUUACAGAUAUAGCACCCCCUUGUAAUUAACCUUUUACAAAUUUACUCUAUGGGACAUAAACUGACAAAUCAUUGGAAAAAAUUCAACUCUACUCCAUGAAAUGUAUUUGAAUUUUAAUAUCACAUGUAUAAUGUGUCUAUUUUUUUUAUCAUUUUAAAAAUUUGUUUGCAUCCUUAGGAUCAUUAUGAAUUUGUGUUAAUUACUUAUUGAACUACGUAUUACAUAUAUUGUUAGAAAUAUUUAAAACUACUAUACAUCUGUACAAUCUCCUUUGUUAGUUAUGUGAUUAUUAUUAAUGUACUUGUCAACUGAUGAAAAAUUUAAGCUGUUACACAGGCAUAAUUAUGUAUUGUUAAAUACAGUU
Ostrea edulis (European flat oyster) is the source of this 1636-nucleotide long non-coding RNA. RefSeq lists it as uncharacterized. The record is from RefSeq and is a predicted model, not a curated record. The transcript is spliced from 3 exons. Lineage: Eukaryota; Metazoa; Mollusca; Bivalvia; Ostreida; Ostreidae.